RNAcentral lists this small RNA (901 nucleotides) under Pongo abelii (Sumatran orangutan). RNAcentral describes it as "retained intron". Lineage: Eukaryota; Metazoa; Chordata; Mammalia; Primates; Hominidae. The record is from RNAcentral.
GGAUGUUUGCCGAGCUUUGACAGGCGUGGCAGAGGGAGCAGUGCCCGAGCGCGGUUUCUCUUAAGGUUCUGCAGGGCAAGGCUGUCGGGGACAGGCUUGGCCAUGGAUCCGCUCUCAGAGCUGCAGGAUGAUCUGACCUUGGAUGACACCAGUGAGGCUCUGAACCAGCUGAAGCUGGCCUCCAUCGAUGAGAAGAACUGGCCCUCGGAUGAAAUGCCUGACUUCCCCAAGUCAGAUGACUCCAAAAGCAGCUCCCCGGAACCUGUCACACACCUGAAGUGGGAUGACCCAUACUAUGACAUCGCCCGGCACCAGAUCGUGGAGGUGGCAGGAGAUGACAAGUAUGGGCGGAAGAUCAUUGUGUUUAGUGCCUGUCGAAUGCCCCCCAGCCACCAGCUCGACCACAGCAAGCUCCUGGGGUGAGUACCUGCCGGGAAGUGCGUUGGGGCUUUGCCCAGAUCCCCAUUGUAGCCUAAUGCCACGUUCUUUACUGUCCCUCCCUGCCUGUGGGUGCUAGGCCACCUGCCUUAAUGCCUCCCCUCUUCUCAUGAAGGAGCUGGUUAUAUUUAGGGGAGAGCACUGGAUGAGGAGUCAGACCUAGUUUCUAGUUAUUGAAGCUGGGUGACCUUGGUAAGCGUCUUUAAGCCUCGCUUUCCUCACCUUUCAAAAGGGAUCAUAAUAUAGGCCUCUUUCCUUGUAGGAGUGAGAAACAGCACAUGAAAAGGAAGGACUUUUGUCCAGAUGUGAGGAUUGACUGUUACAAUCCUAUGGUGUUUCUGAGAUGGUUGCAGUUGUUUAUUGUUUAUAGGACUCAUUAGUGUUGUCUUAUUUUGUGCCUUUGGUGUCAGUGGUUUCUGUACCGAUGUGGGUUCUGGGAGCCAAACAUAUGUAAUAGCUCUGG